Molecule: long non-coding RNA, 356 nt
Filed under: Amborella trichopoda
Lineage: Eukaryota; Viridiplantae; Streptophyta; Magnoliopsida; Amborellales; Amborellaceae
Description: long non-coding RNA (ATRI_LNC002048)
Source: RNAcentral
ACCAAAUAAAGUUCUCCCUUUGCUACCUUUGAACUGAAUAUUACCAUAUGUCUCACUUUGCCCAUUGCUUUCCUUUGAGACAUACCCAAUUCUAUAAGAAUUCACAAUUCUUGGGAUCAUGGGGAUGACCAACUACCUCAAGCCCCAUAUCCUCUCUUCUAGGUAAUUGACUUUCGACUGUACUUUCUUUAAUUUUUAUUGUACUUCGAUCUGUUUGGUACAUGUAUAUAGGGAGGCAAAUUAGAUUAAAGGGGCUUGGUAAAAAAGGGGUAAAUCUGGAUUCAUUAGUUAUUUCGACUGUUUUAUUUUGAAUGAUGUAUUAUUUCGCUUCCAUUAUCAAUAAAAAGUAAGUAGUC